Molecule: non-coding RNA, 3430 nt
Organism: Xyrichtys novacula (pearly razorfish)
Lineage: Eukaryota; Metazoa; Chordata; Actinopteri; Labriformes; Labridae
Source: the annotation of a GenBank genome assembly
GUAAGCUUUGAUAAUUUUCUGUAGACCAUUUUUCACGGCCUCAUUCAUCCUGUUUUAACCUUUUGGCGCUGGAUCAGCGUGUUUACUUUUCCUUUUUGAACAAUAAAUCACUUUUUUAACACUCAAACUGGACUGAUAAUUGACAUGUCGCAGAUGCAAGCGAACCUUUUUCGUUGAAGGAAAACAGUCACUACAGGAAGUAAUGAAAUUACACUCAGACCUGGAGCGCAGAAAUUAAAUUACACACCUGCUGUGAUGCUAAACACAAAACCAGACAUUCAGCGUCUCACUAUUCCUCGCAGGUAAAAGAUCAUCUGUCCUGUUUGGGCCCUGAAAUCUACGGCGUAAAACCCGGUCCAUCUCCUGCUGCAGGCCUGUUCACACCACUUUGUCUCUGCUAUGAGAAAUCCUGAGUCUGCUGCACAGGCUUUAGUGAACAGUCACUUACUUGUCAUUCAGGACGUCACUGAGACUGAAGGUGAACCUGAAAUUAUCAUAUUUAUCACACAUCCAUACGCAGCCUUGGGUGAACACGUCAGCGAAAAUGUAAAAAUGAUUUAGGAGCUUUUCUUGGAUUUUCUUGAAAUGAAAACCUCAGACAUCCCCGAAUGUUUCUAUUAUCAGAAAUAUAUAAAUACUGUCUGCAAGUUGGAUAGCUGGGAGCCAAGAGGAGGAAACAGGAGUUAUAAAGUCUGAGCGUCAGAGACGGAGAGCGGACUGAGAUCAUAAAAAGACGGGGAGUGAGAUCUCUCUGCAGUUACAUUUCUCUGUUUUCUGUCUUCAUCUCGACUUUAAGUGUCUCGUCUUUAAUCAAAUAGACAUUCUGGAUAUUUUAGAAGUCAGAGAGAACUGAGCGUGCUCAGUACGAGUUUCACUCUAUAAUUCAUGACAGUCAAAUAAUGCAGGACGGGGUCCAAUAGUCAGAAUGUCUGCAGGGUCGAGCGACAGCAGCUUCCCUUUAACGACUUUAAACAAGCUGUAAAACAAGAUCAACAUGUCGGCUAAAUAAAUGUGAGCUGGUGUGAAUGAGGCUGGAGGUCUGUCUUCACACUGAGCAGGAGACUGAAGGAAAGCUGUUAAAGAUCCACUGCAGUCAGACUUCAUGUCUCUGCUUUCUGAGCUCAGGUCACUCAGAAGGAAAUUCAAGUAUUAAGUUUAUCACUCGGCGUACAAGAAAAGAAGAGCUGUAAAUCGCAGUUUCUUAAAUCAAAAAGUGACUAAAUCAUCAUAGAAGCUGUACAUACAAUCAAAACAAAGAGGUUGUUAAAACUGCUGCUAUCUUUGGUUAUGUCUCUUGUUAACACCCCUCUCUUUUAUUCGGUCAGAGUUCAUUAUGUUUAUUAUUAUUAUCAUCAUUAGUCUGACCUUGGUGUAAGAACUCACACUGACGAUUUUGACUCCAAAUCUCUUUGCAUGCUAUCAGGGCUGGGCGGUAAAACGAUAACGAUAUACUGUAUAUCGAAAAUUAAUUUCCCUCAAUAUCAAUAUAAAACACGAUCAAUAUGCUUCUCGAUAGUCGUCAUUCUGCCAUGUUUUGGUAGACUAUACGAAUAGCCAAUGAUAAGAGGAGUUGGUCCUGGUCCGCUUCACUCUGAACCAAUCAUGUGCUGAAUUAGAACCAACUGCAUCACAGCAGACAGCAGCUACACCCAACCAUAGCACUUGAACAGGUGAAGCCGACAGCACUGUUGGUGAGAAACAAAGAAAAUGAGUGCUACCCCCGACAGAAAUGACCAUGAAGGCUCAACAGAUGACCACAUCGAUGUCAACCACAACACUGGCGUUAGGAAAACGUCGGUGGUGUGGAGGUAUUUUGGUUUUUGGAGGUCGGACAUGAAGCAGAGUAAUGUGGACUGUAAAUUAUGUCGAGUACAUGUUCUCACAAAGUCGGGGAAUACCUCAAAUCUUUUUCACCACCUGAAGCAGCGCCACGCCGCAGAGCACGCGCAACGCAAAAGGUUACAAAGCCCAGCCGAAACAGACGACAAUUCAGUCCGCUUUCUCUAGAGCAACGCCUUACGACAAAACGUCAAAGAGACACAAAGACCUCACAGAUGCAGGAGAUUAUUGUGUUUUAAAAGACAUGCGACCAAUAAACACUGUUAAAAAAAAAAAUGAUAUCUUGAUUUAUAUCGAUAUCGACUGAUAUGGGAAAAAAAUAUAUCGUGGUAAACUUUUUUCCCAUAUCCCCAGCCCUACAUGCUAUCAUGCACGUACAUAUUUUAAAGGUGGGUUGUUUGUUCAGUCAGCUGGUGUAAAAAUGGAAAUACUGCAGAAAACUGGAUUUAACAGAAAACCAACAGUGAAAAUUAACAGACAGGAAACAGUCAACUCCUCAUUGUUGGAGCUCGCACAUUAGCCUCAGUGACAGAUCAUGAUGGUGCCGAGCUGUCAGAGGAGGAGAAAGGUAUUAUUAAACCUCACAGCAGAAGAACCCACUUUGGAGUUGAUAAUAAAGGUCAAAUAGUCUUUCCGCCUCAGUGAGUCUGCAGCCUCUAAUAAAUUAAACACGACAGAUGACGCCCGACUGAACUCAGGAAGUUUUUAACGCUGUCAAACUUUUCCUACUUUCUACUUUCAUUUUUAAAAGCCGGGGUGGUUUUUGGUUUUAUUUGACUUUGCAGGGUCUCCAGAUGGCAACGAUUUUGACAAAACGACAGAGACGACGGGCAACUGGGCUUUUCAAGUGACAAGCUGUUGUGCCGGUGAUGUGAACCCUCGCCGGGCUGACGGAGCUGACAGCUCACAUCCCAAUUCACAAAGUGUCACAUCAGGAAAUAAUGUAGAGAGCCGCAUAAAUAUUACACUCAGAAACCUGCAGUCGAGUGAUUCCUAAAUAUUAGGGUGAAUCUAUCUGAUUUAAGGUCGUUAUCCAUGUUGAAGGUAAAACUUAGUGAAGCGUUUCACUUUCCUGGACAUUUAUUCUUUCACUUUAAGGAAAUUUUUCGACCCUUUCUUUCUUUUUUUCUAAAUGCUUCCUCUAUUCCUGACUCUCACAGUAUCUGACGCUCUGCAGCUUCUCUUGCAUUUAACAGCCUCAGACCCGCGUAUGCAUAAAACCACAUUAAGUGGAGAUAUGAACUGCUCAGGCGUAGGGAGAUAUGGUCAAAAUGAAUUCACGAAUGAAGAAUUUCUCCCUCUCUUUCCAUCUCUUUUUCUAUUUGCCUCAAUUUCCCUAUAGUGUUUUUUCUUCCCCCUUUGAGAAAGCUGAGAGGAGAAACCGCUUCUAAAUUGACUGACAGAAGAAGAUACUUCGAUGACUGCUUUAACCGCUUAUUCCGGGAGCGCUCAUGUGUGAGGGGAGAAAAGGCUGGAAUGAUAGUUGCGUGCAUUUCAUUGUGCAGCUGCAGGAAUCCUUGCAGCUUCAAAAGAUAUCAUUUGUGAAGGCUCUUUAACAAUGCCUUCUGUUUGAGGGAGACUCCUCCUCUGA